GACUCCCUGACCUUCUGGCCGGCUUCCCAGCAGUCAGAGCACCAGGGAAAACACAGAGACACGCUCACGUCAGGGAAACUUCCAGGGGAGCCCACAUGAUGCAUGCAGCCCCUUCCUGAGCCCCCCGCGCUGACCUUGAAUCCACAAGCCACCAGAACUGCCUGAAGGUAAUCAGGAUGUGACCCAGCUAAUUACACACCAGCAAUUCGCAACAGCUCUUUCUGUUCCUUCCUGGCCCCGGCUAAGGCUACGUCUGCACAGGCCAGAUAGGCUUACAGAACGGACUUAAGAGACCAGUUAGUGCAACGUCCGUGCCGCCUUUCAUUAAACCAUAUAGAACAACCAUUGACCGUAGAAAUGAAACGGAUCCUCCAAAGUUAAUCAACAAAGAAGAUUCAUCUCCUUUUCUCUGAGCUGAAGAUACAAGUACAGAGAAUGAAACCAUCUCCGUUCUCAGGUGGAGGGAACGAGCCCUCUGAAAGUUCCAAAAGUCUGAGUUCUAGAAUAAAGACAGCGCCGAUGUCUCAAGGAGCCAGGAGUGACCUUUGGAAGUGACCUUUGGCGGUCUAGUCCAGUGAGUACAGACUCAUGAACGUCUCCGUGAGCGACCCAUCUUCCUGUCAUCCUUGCCUCUAGCUGUUGGCUCCUUUCCAGUGUGCAGCCCAGGACUGAGCACGCAGCAGGUGCUCAAUGACUCCUGAUGGGUCCAUUGAUUACCAGCUGUUCUGUAACCACCUCGGGAUCCGGAGUUGACACUGCUAGAUUCAAAGGCCUCUCAAAUCCCUCCAGCUCUAACUCUGUGAUCCUAUGACGGGGCUAGUGAAAAACUGGCCAGACAGCAUAGAAAAAUAGGUUUUGAGCUUUGGGAAAUUUCAGGGAGUUGGCAAGGAUUAGGGUUAGGGUUCAUGUUUUACUUACUAAGAAAUUAAAUUCUGGAACUUUUUGUGCAUCGUCAGGCAGUGUUGAGAACACAGCAAGAAGGGCAGUGUGAAUAUGUGUAGGUAUGUCAUCAUUUGUGCACAGAGAGAAUGAAAAUGAUCAGAGACUCAUUUUGUGUGUAGUCCAAUACUUCACUGGUCACCGAUUUUUACUGGUGUUCUACUCCUUCCAACAACAUCAGUUAUACUCCUUGUAGAACUUAAUGGAUCAUCUUUGAGUAUUGCCAAGGCCAAUAAGUGAUGUGAGGAGAGGCUCAAUCCAAAACAAUUUCUCCCUCCUCUAGGUCCCAAUAAUGUAACUGGGAUCCUCUGCCCUUCCCAAAGGGCUCUGAGCAUGAUGGAUACUUUCCUGGAUUCAAGGGGAUUGAGAUGGAUCCAAAAUGGUUUUGGAAAUGUAAGGGAAAUGAUUAUUUAAUGUACUACUUCAAGCUCCCUAGAUCUGGGGAAUCUGAACUUAUUUAUUAUUAAUCAUGAAUACCAUACUCUGCUACACAUAAUUACAAUACAGCCAUAAUAAUAUGGUGAAUUUACAUGGGGUCUCUCUUCUAAAGACCUCAACAUAUUUCCAUAUACUAUUUCACUAAUUAGGCUUUUAAUAUUCACCUGGUAGAGAAGGAGCAGCCAUUAUCCUUAACUUAGUGACAGAAUGAAAGCCCCUUGAGGGCCAGGUCCAUUUCAUUUUUGUUUCUAUAUCUCCAUUGCCUAUCAUAAUAUAUGGUGCAAAAUGGGAAUUGAAUAAAUGCUUUUUAGCUGAUUGAUUUUACAGAUGGAGAAAGUGAGCUCAGACACAUUAAUUGGUAACCUUGGAAUUCUUAUAUCGCCUCAUUCUGGACUCUUAAAUGAGGAGAUUUGACUAGAAAUUUUCUUUGGUCCCUUCAACAUCUAGGAUUCAAAAUAAGUUUAGUCCCCACCCCUUCCCAACCCUUACCCCCCUCUCCAAACAUCCAGUGCAUGUUAUUGGCAGAGCAAGAUAUCAAAAUCCUGGUUUUCACAUUCCUCACCCAGUGCUCUCUUGGACAAGAUUGCUCAAGAGAAAUCCUGCGGUAGGCACCUUCUGAGAGUCCCAGCAUUUGUAGAAUACAUUAAAAAGCACAAAGGGAGUUCUAUCUUAAAACAUGCCUCCCUCUUUCUUGGGAAUGCUGAUUAAUUACGCAAAGAGACUAGCUUUGAGUCAAACAUCCCACUUUGUUGUCUCUUCUGUGACUCACUAUUAUGCUGAUUAACAGAGCCAGAGAAGAACACACUCUAUACUCAGAUUAGAGUGGGGGAAGGUGCCAGGCAACAACUCUGCUGGGCAGCUCCCUCCAUUUAUUCAGAGCCCAUAGUUCUAUGACAUUUCACCAGCCUUCAUCAAUUCUGUUCCAUUUCAUUCAAUCACAUUCCAGUCCAAGCCCACCUUGUCCAUUCUACUCCAUUCCCCUCCUCCAAUUUCAUUCCAUUCCCCUCCAUUCCAUAAGCAUUUAUGGAGCAGUUACUGUGUGGCCAACUCUUUUCCUGGCUUGAGCUAAAUUUGACCUGUAGUUAGUUUUGAGAGGAAUAUGGUAGAAAUGAGAGACAUCUAGAUAUUGUCAUUAUCAUUAUUUUUGUGGUUAAAUAAUGGAAUAGAAAGGGGACUAAACAGCAACAAAAACCCCUAUACACUUGUCUUGACACUACCACUCACUGAUGUAUGGCCUUGGGCAUAUGUAUUAGCUUCUACGGACCUCAACGUCCACAUUUGUAAGAUUAGUCUACUUCUAAGUUUACUUCUCUAUUUAUAAUCCUAUGAACCUUCUUUGGGAUCUAAUUUCUUUCUCUAUAAAGUAGGGUUGAACAACCUUGUCAAUACCAUGGCCGGGGAUGAGAACCACUGAGUCAACACUGACAUGGAAAAGCAGCAGAGAUCAUGGUGGGGAGGCUGUGCUGUAUCCAUUGUAGCUUUGUAGGACAGCCCACAGCAGGGAAAUUUAAUGAAGAAAAACUCUAGAGUCUUCUGCUGGUAGUUCUUAGCCUGGCCAUUGUUUUGGAGCCUUAUGCAACACUUGAUCAUUUGCAGAGGGUGGUUCAAACUUUACUAAGCCCCUGGGUCAUGGAGCAGAAAUGGCUGCGUUAUCCUCAGUCAGACAUGGCAAAGCAGAAAGCAGUUGUCCGGUUCAGCACUGAGAUGAUGGAAAGCACCAACUCACUUUGAGCUGCCUGCCAUUCAGUGGGCAGCAAUGCUGUUACCAAGAUUAUCUAAGACAGAGGAUUGUGACCAGGGCCAAUAGAUUCAAUAAACCUCACCUACUUUUAUGCUUCCAAGAGUGGAAGCGUGAGGUUGAAUUGUCUAGGUUUCCUGAGGAGAAAUGCCCUUGAUUAAUUGUUUUUCUGUGUCCCUUUCCUGAUACACAAAGCUGGGCUUUCUGGGUACACACAGAAGCAGCUAGGGGAAAAGCAUCUGUGUCUGCAUCCCUCCCUGGGCAUCUCCUGUCUUGUAGCAGCACUUGGCAUUUUCCCUGUGUGGUAAGGGGUCAGCGUUUUUCUGAGAGUCUAAUCUGUGAUGAGAUGUUUGGUUAUAUUUGACUCCGUUCCAUUUCGGAGAUUUCAUCGCAUCACACCACAAGGUAGCUUGCCGAUAUAAAGUCCCUUUUCUUAUCUGAUGAUGUCCCCAUGCUUUGUUCCCUGAUUCGUGGACAGUAGCCAUGGAAGCUAGGUGUAAUGUCUGAAUGAUCCCUCCCCAUGGCCGUCCAUGUACUGUGGCAACAUUUGGCAUUAUUGGCUGCUGGAGAGUGACAGUGAUGCAAUCUUCCAGUCCAAGCAAGUCUGUGAUGAGAAAGGUUUUGAGAAAGCCUGGGCUGCAUCUCUGAGCUUCACAAUGACUUCAUCUCUGCAGCUCAGAGAUUCCUAUUGAAGCAAGUAGAAAUGAUCUGUUCUUGCCUGUAUGAUUACAAUGUGAUUGCCUUAGUGAAUUCUUGGAGUGAAUAGAAUACUGGAGUGGAUUGAAUACUGGACUGGAAUAAGGAGAACCUGAGU
Molecule: non-coding RNA, 3929 nt
Organism: Phascolarctos cinereus (koala)
Lineage: Eukaryota; Metazoa; Chordata; Mammalia; Diprotodontia; Phascolarctidae
Source: RefSeq, a predicted model, not a curated record